UGGCUCAGUAACACGUGGAGAAUCUAACCUUUGGUGGAGGAUAAUCUCGGGAGACUGAGAAUAAUACUCCAUAAACAUAGGAUGCUGGAAUGCUUCUAUGUUGAAAGGCAACGCCAAAGGAUGACUCUGCGACCUAUCAGGCUGUAGUGAGUGUAAUGGACUCACUAACCUGCAACGGGUACGGGUGUUGGAAGACAUUGCCCGGAGAUGGACUCUGAGACAUGAGUCCAGGUUCUACGGAACGCAGCAGGCGCGAAAACUCCGCAAUGUACGAAAGUACGACGGGGGAAUUCUGAGUGCUUACGCCUUGCGUAGGCUGUUUUCUUGUCUAAAAAACAAGGAGAGUAAGGGCUGGGUAAGACGGGUGCCAUCUCGUGCAAUUCUGCACUUAUUGUGUUCGUUGCACGAAGCACAAGCCGCCGCGGUAAUACCCGCGGCCCGAGUGGUGCUCAUUAUUAUUGAGCCUAAAACGUCCGUAGCCGGUUUAAUAAAUUCUUGGGUAAAUCAUAUCGCUUAACGAUAUGAAUUCUGAGAACACUGCUAAACUCGGGAAUGGGAGAGGCCAGAGGUACUUUCAGGGUAGGGGUAAAAUCCCGUAAUCCUGAGAGGACCACCGGUGGCGAAGGCGUCUGGCUAGAACAUAUUCGACGGUAAGGGACGAAGCCCUGGGGCGCAAACGGGAUUAGAUACCCCGGUAGUCCAGGGUGUAAACGCUGUAGAUUUGGUGUUGGAAAUCCUACGGGGAUUCCCAGUGCCGGAGAGAAGUUGUUAAAUCUACUGCUUGGGGAGUACGGUCGCAAGACUGAAACUUAAAGGAAUUGGCGGGGGAGCACCGCAACGGGUGGAGCGUGCGGUUUAAUUGGAUUCAACGCCGAGAAACUCACCGGGGGCGACCAUUAUAUGAAGG
RNAcentral lists this ribosomal RNA (907 nucleotides) under uncultured archaeon. RNAcentral's name for it is "bacterial SSU rRNA". It matches the Rfam family "Archaeal small subunit ribosomal RNA", at positions 86 to 953 of the family's 1478-position model. The record is from RNAcentral.